ACGAACGCUGGCGGCGUGCCUAAUACAUGCAAGUCGAACGGUCUUUCUAUGGAAGCUUGCUUCCACUGAGAAGAUAGUGGCGAACGGGUGAGUAACACGUGGGUAACCUGCCCAUAAGAGGGGGAUAACAUCCGGAAACGGGUGCUAAUACCGCAUAGUUUUUCUUGAUCGCAUGAUUGAGAAAGGAAAGACGGCCUUUGUGCUGUCGCUUAUGGAUGGACCCGCGGCGUAUUAGUUAGUUGGUGAGGUAAUGGCUCACCAAGACGAUGAUACGUAGCCGACCUGAGAGGGUGAUCGGCCACAUUGGGACUGAGACACGGCCCAAACUCCUACGGGAGGCAGCAGUAGGGAAUCUUCCGCAAUGGACGAAAGUCUGACGGAGCAACGCCGCGUGAGUGAAGAAAGGUUUUCGGAUCGUAAAACUCUGUUGUCAGAGAAGAACAAGUUGGAGAGUAACUGCUCCAGCCUUGACGGUAUCUGACCAGAAAGCCACGGCUAACUACGUGCCAGCAGCCGC
RNAcentral lists this ribosomal RNA (517 nucleotides) under uncultured bacterium. RNAcentral describes it as "bacterial SSU rRNA". It matches the Rfam family "Bacterial small subunit ribosomal RNA", at positions 29 to 518 of the family's 1533-position model. The record is from RNAcentral.